GAGGAAACCGGUGUGAAUCCGGUGCGGUCCCGCCACUGUGAUCGGCGAGCCGAUCCCGAAUACGCCACUGCCCGACACGGGUGGGAAGGCCGGGGGAGGCGCUUGAGCCGUCAGCCAGGAGACUC
This 125-nucleotide non-coding RNA is filed under the name Thermobispora bispora. The record is from RNAcentral. Lineage: Bacteria; Bacillati; Actinomycetota; Actinomycetes; Streptosporangiales; Streptosporangiaceae.